CAGCCGCCGCGGUAAAACGAAGGGGGCUAGCGUUGCUCGGAAUCACUGGGCGUAAAGGGUGCGUAGGCGGGUCUUUAAGUCAGGGGUGAAAUCCUGGAGCUCAACUCCAGAACUGCCUUUGAUACUGAAGAUCUUGAGUUCGGGAGAGGUGAGUGGAACUGCGAGUGUAGAGGUGAAAUUCGUAGAUAUUCGCAAGAACACCAGUGGCGAAGGCGGCUCACUGGCCCGAUACUGACGCUGAGGCACGAAAGCGUGGGGAGCAAACAGGAUUAGAUACCCGCGUAGUCCCUGUCUCUUAUAC
This 301-nucleotide ribosomal RNA is filed under the name uncultured bacterium. Its description in RNAcentral is "partial 16S ribosomal RNA". It matches the Rfam family "Bacterial small subunit ribosomal RNA", at positions 509 to 807 of the family's 1533-position model. The record is from RNAcentral.